RNAcentral lists this ribosomal RNA (852 nucleotides) under uncultured bacterium. RNAcentral describes it as "bacterial SSU rRNA". It matches the Rfam family "Bacterial small subunit ribosomal RNA", at positions 8 to 843 of the family's 1533-position model. The record is from RNAcentral.
AGAGUUUGAUCAUGGCUCAGGACGAACGCUGGCGGCGUGCCUAAUACAUGCAAGUUGAGCGAUGAAGAUUGGUGCUUGCACCAAUUUGAAGAGCAGCGAACGGGUGAGUAACGCGUGGGGAAUCUGCCUUUGAGCGGGGGACAACAUUUGGAAACGAAUGCUAAUACCGCAUAAUAACUUUAAACAUAAGUUUUAAGUUUGAAAGAUGCAAUUGCAUCACUCAAAGAUGAUCCCGCGUUGUAUUAGCUAGUUGGUGAGGUAAAGGCUCACCAAGGCGAUGAUACAUAGCCGACCUGAGAGGGUGAUCGGCCACAUUGGGACUGAGACACGGCCCAAACUCCUACGGGAGGCAGCAGUAGGGAAUCUUCGGCAAUGGACGAAAGUCUGACCGAGCAACGCCGCGUGAGUGAAGAAGGUUUUCGGAUCGUAAAACUCUGUUGGUAGAGAAGAACGUUGGUGAGAGUGGAAAGCUCAUCAAGUGACGGUAACUACCCAGAAAGGGACGGCUAACUACGUGCCAGCAGCCGCGGUAAUACGUAGGUCCCGAGCGUUGUCCGGAUUUAUUGGGCGUAAAGCGAGCGCAGGUGGUUUAUUAAGUCUGGUGUAAAAGGCAGUGGCUCAACCAUUGUAUGCAUUGGAAACUGGUAGACUUGAGUGCAGGAGAGGAGAGUGGAAUUCCAUGUGUAGCGGUGAAAUGCGUAGAUAUAUGGAGGAACACCGGUGGCGAAAGCGGCUCUCUGGCCUGUAACUGACACUGAGGCUCGAAAGCGUGGGGAGCAAACAGGAUUAGAUACCCUGGUAGUCCACGCCGUAAACGAUGAGUGCUAGAUGUAGGGAGCUAUAAGUUCUCUG